CAAGAGAAGAAAUUACUUCAACCGGGUUUCUGUCAAAUCGAGCCAGAUUUGCUUGAAAACCUUGAUAAUGAGAUCGUGAUAAUCAUCGGAAUUUAAGGAAAGAUAGCAGGCAAGAAGGUCUUCCAAAUCCUUUGAUGCCCUUAUAUUGUUUUCCACAAUCAUCUCCACCAUUGAGUCCCUGAAAUCCCUCUGAGGAUCAAAAGAAGAUUUCACGAUGGCCAGACUAUCUGAAAGACUCCUCCGAUAGCUUGAAUUCGAUAUUGAU
Molecule: unclassified non-coding RNA, 265 nt
Filed under: Hevea brasiliensis (rubber tree)
Lineage: Eukaryota; Viridiplantae; Streptophyta; Magnoliopsida; Malpighiales; Euphorbiaceae
Source: RNAcentral